CGUGCAGGCGGCCGAUCAAGUCUGAUGUGAAAGCCCGGGGCUUAACCUCGGAAGGGCGUUGGAAACUGGUCGGCUUGAGUUCGGGAGAGGAAAGCGGAAUUCCGGGUGUAGAGGUGAAAUUCGUAGAUAUCCGGAGGAACACCGGUGGCGAAGGCGGCUUUCUGGACCGAAACUGACGCUGAGACGCGAAAGCGUGGGGAGCAAACAGGAUUAGAUACCCUGGUAGUCCACGCUGUAAACGAUGGGCACUAGGUGUGGGGGGUUUUUAAUCCCUCCGUGCCGCAGCUAACGCAUUAAGUGCCCCGCCUGGGGAGUACGGCCGCAAGGUUAAA
Molecule: ribosomal RNA, 332 nt
Filed under: uncultured bacterium
Lineage: Bacteria
Description: bacterial SSU rRNA
Rfam family: Bacterial small subunit ribosomal RNA
Source: RNAcentral